ACCACCUGGGGAUCUUCUUAAAAUGCAGAUUCUGAUUCCAUAGUUCUGAGGGUACCCAAGAUUCUGCAUUUCUAACAAGGUCCCAGGUUAUGCC
This 94-nucleotide microRNA precursor is filed under the name Dasypus novemcinctus (nine-banded armadillo). Its description in RNAcentral is "miRNA (ENSDNOG00000033884.1)". Lineage: Eukaryota; Metazoa; Chordata; Mammalia; Cingulata; Dasypodidae. The record is from RNAcentral.